UUUACGAAUGGAAAAAAUAAAGAAAAAUGAAACUGUGGUCUGUGGGAGAAAAUAGACUACGUAAAAUUUUCCCGAUUCUUCUACCCGUUUUCCUAGACCUGAAACAGUCAAAGUUAGGUCAGUUUCCAAGUAACAAUUACGAUUCCAUCAUCAAUUUAAUCGGUCCGUGAUCUUUGGAAGAAGAGGAAAGAAAAAAAAAAAAAACCCUUGAGAUGUGCUGAUUCGAGCAGGAGAAGACCCGAAAACGAGUUUGAGUUUGAGUUUGAGUACUGGGGGAGAAUUCAAUUGGAGAGACUUCGAAGGGGUGGGGUUUACUAUGACCGACGCGUUCUCUCUGAUUCCCGCCUCUGUGCUGCGCAAUCUCUCCGACAAGCUUUAUGAGAAGCGCAAAAAUGCCGCUCUUGAGGUUGAGGGAAUUGUGAAGCAGCUCGCAGUGGCUGGUGAUCACGACAGGAUUACGGUGGUGAUCAAUCUGUUGAUCACGGAAUUUACAUAUUCGCAGCAAGCGAAUCACCGGAAGGGAGGAUUGAUAGGCUUAGCUGCUGCAACAGUUGGGCUGACUGGUGAAGCGGCUCAACAUCUCGAGCAAAUUGUGUUGCCUGUGCUUAAUUCUUUUUCUGACCAAGAUAGCAGAGUUCGGUAUUACGCUUGCGAAGCAUUGUAUAAUAUUGCAAAGGUUGUAAGAGAGGAUUCCAUCAUAUUCUUUAAUCAGAUUUUUGAUGCAUUGUGUAAGCUCUCGGCAGACUCAGAUGCAAAUGUACAGAGUGCUGCUCAUCUUUUGGAUCGGCUUGUGAAGGACAUUGUUACUGUAAGUGAUCAAUUCAGCAUUGAAGAAUUUAUACAGUUGUUGAGGGAAAGAAUGAAUGUCCUAAAUCCCUAUGUCCGGCAGUUUUUAGUAGGAUGGAUCACUGUAUUGGAUAGUGUUCCAGAGUUUGACAUGCUGGGUUUCCUUCCUGAUUUUCUCGAUGGUCUGUUUAAUAUGUUAAGUGAUCCUAGCCAUGAAAUAAGGCAACAAGCUGAUUCAGCUCUUUCGGAAUUUCUACAAGAGAUCAAGAACUCCCCAUCUGUAGAUUAUGGUCGCAUGGCUGAAAUACUGGUGCAGAGGGCAGCUUCACAAGAUGAAUUUACUCGGUUAACAGCUAUUACAUGGAUAAACGAGUUUGUAAAACUUGGUGGGGACCAGCUUGUUCCUUAUUAUGCUAAUAUUCUUGGAGCCAUUUUGCCCUGCAUAUCUGAUAAAGAGGAGAAAAUUAGAGUGGUUGCUCGUGAAACCAAUGAAGAGCUUCGUUCAAUCAUGGCUGAAUCAGCUGAAGGAUUUGAAGUAGGAGCAAUCCUCACUAUUGCAAGGAGGCAAUUGUCUAGUGAAUGGGAGGCUACUCGAAUUGAAGCAUUGCACUGGAUUUCAACUCUUUUAGAGAGAUAUCGAAAGGAGGUCUUAAGCUCCCUUGGUGACAUAUUUGACGCCCUUCUGAAAGCACUGUCAGAUCCUUCUGAUGAGGUUGUGCUCCUUGUUCUUGAGGUUCAUGCCUGCAUAGCAGAAGAUCCUCCACACUUCCGCCAACUUCUUGUUUUCCUUGUUCAUAAUUUCCGGAUAGAUAUUUCUCUUCUGGCAAAGCGUGGUGCUCUAAUAAUCCGCCGGCUUUGUGUGCUUUUAGAUCCUGAAAGGGUCUACCGUGAACUUUCAGCAAUACUAGAAGGAGAAUCUGACCUGGAUUUUGCAUCUAUUUUGGUUCAGACUUUGAAUUUAAUUCUACUUGCAUCGUCUGAAUUGUCUGAGGUCCGGGAUCUUUUGAAAAAUUCACUGGUGAAUCCGGCUGGGAAGGACUUGUUUGUUUCUUUGUAUGCUUCAUGGUGUCAUUCGCCCAUGGCAAUUAUAAGUCUUUGCUUAUUAGCACAGACGUACCAGCAUGCAAGUGCUGUGAUUCAGUCUCUGGUGGAGGAAGAUAUCAAUGUCAAAUUUUUGGUCCAGCUGGAUAAAUUGAUUCGCUUGCUGGAAACUCCAAUCUUUGCUUAUCUUAGAUUGCAGCUUCUUGAACCUGGAAGAUAUAUAUGGUUGUUAAAAGCCUUGUAUGGCCUUCUGAUGUUGCUUCCCCAGCAAAGUGCCGCAUUUAAGAUACUGCGAACCCGUUUAAAAACUGUGCCUUCAUAUUCCUUCAACGGUGAGCAAGUUAGGCAAACAUCAUCGGGGAACCCCUAUCAUAUUAUACAUCACGUGCCAAGCGGUUUGCAAAUCUGUGAGGAUGAAGAUGGGAUCCAGGAUGGUGCAAAUUCACAUAAUGGAAUUAACUUUGCUUCAAGGCUACAACAGUUUGAGCAAAUGCAGCAGCAGCAUCGUAUGCACACAAAAGUGCAGGCACUAUCACGCAACAGUUCUACCACUUCAUUAUCAGAGGUCUGUUGAGCUUCUCUUUGAUAUUCUCAGCACCAGAGAGCUUGAUAAUGAGAAUUUUUCAGGUGACAGUAAUUCAGAUGAGUUAAUGCAAAGAAGUGGAAUGACAAUUUUGACAAUCAAUGAGGUGCAAUAUUCUUAUUCGUACAGAAAAUCAAAGAAGAAAAAUAUUGAGAAAUAGAAAUAGUUCACUAAGCUCUGGAGGGAGAGCCCCUUCUAUAUCCUUUGGUUCAAAAAAGGAAAGAAAACAGAUCUCAGGUCCAUCAGAAAGGGAUCUCCCUUUCCACUUUGAUGGCAAUCACAAAAUGACAAAAUGUAUCAGCAAGAUUACAUACUUGUUUCUCCUUUCAGACUGGGUAUGGUUGUGUUGGGCUGGAUUCACAGAGAAGCUAAAGUUUCUGUUGCCUGCCUCGGAAAAUUGAGGUGCAAGGACCUGAAGAACCUCCAGACCCUGCUUCAUGGGACAUGAGUGGACCUCCGUCAAGAUCAAGGAGAGGGUCAGGUCAAUUACCAUUAUGAUUUUGUUGCUGCGUCCUGCCUCUAAUCAAGGUUGAUUGUACACUCUUCUCGGCAUGUGCCAUGGCAAAGAUCUGGUAUAAUUUGCAAAAUUGUAUAUCUUAGUUUGUUUUGUUGUCAUAGAAAUUGGGACGAUGAUAAGGGUUUCAAAGUAAGAUAAGCUAGGGUUUCCCUGAGCUAUUCUUUUUUACUUUGUAAGCAAGAUAUACCAAUGUGGUUCUGUUGUAUUUUUUCAAUCAUAAACCACGUGGGCUAGAGGGAAACAUUGUUUUAGAAGAUGCAGCAUGUUUCUUUAUGUGCAUCUGUUACAGCAACCUUAUACAAAAUAAGAAGUAAUCUAAUUCAUGUGCACAAAUUCUAAGAAAAAUAUACAUGCAUUUUGUUGUUUUUUUUUAAUUCAUUUUUUCAUGUUUCACCCACCGGAAUGUUGCUGGGGCGCAUGCGCACAUCUUGGAUAGCACCUUCGGUUGCAAUUCCCAGGGUCUAAGAUAGAGAGAAUUAUUCGUAUAUGUUAUUGUACCAGAAACGCUGAAAGGUACGUGAUCUAAAACUGGUUAUCUUCA
Juglans regia (Persian walnut) is the source of this 3468-nucleotide RNA transcript. It is a transcript of the gene named protein VAC14 homolog, with no coding region annotated. The record is from RefSeq and is a predicted model, not a curated record. NCBI's taxonomy places the organism in Eukaryota, Viridiplantae, Streptophyta, Magnoliopsida, Fagales, Juglandaceae. The transcript has 20 exons.